CACGUAGGGGGCGAGCGUUGUCCGGAUUCAUUGGGCGUAAAGAGCUCGUAGGUGGUUCAGUAAGUCGGGUGUGAAAGCUCCGAGCUCAACUCGGAGAGGCCACCCGAUACUGCUGUGACUCGAGUCCGGUAGAGGAGCGUGGAACUCCUGGUGUAGCGGUGAAAUGCGCAGAUAUCAGGAAGAACACCCGUAGCGAAGGCGGCGCUCUGGGCCGGUACUGACGCUGAGGAGCGAAAGCGUGGGUAGCAAACAGGAUUAGAUACCCUGGUAGUCCACGCCGUAAACGUUGGGCACUAGGUGUGGGGAGGAGUCAACCCUUUCCGUGCCGUAGCUAACGCAUUAAGUGCCCCGCCUGGGGAGUACGGCCGCAAGGCUAAA
This 378-nucleotide ribosomal RNA is filed under the name uncultured bacterium. RNAcentral describes it as "bacterial SSU rRNA". It matches the Rfam family "Bacterial small subunit ribosomal RNA", at positions 524 to 898 of the family's 1533-position model. The record is from RNAcentral.